AUUGAACGCUGGCGGCAGGCUUAACACAUGCAAGUCGAGCGGGGGAAGGUAGCUUGCUACCGGACCUAGCGGCGGACGGGUGAGUAAUGCUUAGGAAUCUGCCUAUUAGUGGGGGACAACAUCUCGAAAGGGAUGCUAAUACCGCAUACGUCCUACGGGAGAAAGCAGGGGAUCUUCGGACCUUGCGCUAAUAGAUGAGCCUAAGUCGGAUUAGCUAGUUGGUGGGGUAAAGGCCUACCAAGGCGACGAUCUGUAGCGGGUCUGAGAGGAUGAUCCGCCACACUGGGACUGAGAAACGGCCCAGACUCCUACGGGAGGCAGCAGUGGGGAAUAUUGGACAAUGGGGGGAACCCUGAUCCAGCCAUGCCGCGUGUGUGAAGAAGGCCUUAUGGUUGUAAAGCACUUUAAGCGAGGAGGAGGCAACUUUAGUUAAUACCUAGAGAUAGUGGACGUUACUCGCAGAAUAAGCACCGGCUAACUCUGUGCCAGCCGCCGCCGUAA
Molecule: ribosomal RNA, 501 nt
Filed under: uncultured bacterium
Lineage: Bacteria
Description: partial 16S ribosomal RNA
Rfam family: Bacterial small subunit ribosomal RNA
Source: RNAcentral